AAUACCUCUCACCUACGACGUUUCAUGUGGGCAUCUUAACGGAUAUGUGACCAUGGAUUUCGGGUAUAUAAACUCCGUCGGCUGUUGCAGUAGACAUACUUUCAGUCUAGCUUCAGACAAGCAAACGUACAACAAUUCGAAAUGGCAAAGCUCGUAAUGAUCGCUGUCUUGGUUGCCUUCGUGGCCGUUGCCUCAGCCGCCAGUUUCGGUGGUUUGAAAGACCUAGCUGGAAACUACUAUGACUUCUCCACUGGUCAAUACUCCAGCGCUCUGACUGGCAAAGUUUACAAUACUGCACCUAUCGCCUACGUUCCUCCUGUUGCUCCAGUUGCCCCAGUUGUGGCACCAGCUUCUCCUUACUACUAUGCGGCCGCUCCUUACCCUUACAGCGCUGCCUACGUUGCCCCAGUCUGGAAAUAGGUACUUGGUAAAAGGUACUACCGUUUUUCCGGGGAUGACUCAUCUGGUUGUAGACGUUAUUUAAUUUCAUCCGAGCCAAACUUUUUUACCUAAUUUAAUUUCUCAAGACAAAAUACCAAAAUAUAUUGGUUGCCAUAAUUGUGUAUAUUUUGUAUACGCAGAAAAAUAAACUGAAUAUUUUGGUUCCAA
This is a long non-coding RNA of Stegodyphus dumicola, 609 nucleotides long. The record is from RefSeq and is a predicted model, not a curated record. NCBI's taxonomy places the organism in Eukaryota, Metazoa, Arthropoda, Arachnida, Araneae, Eresidae.